Molecule: long non-coding RNA, 99 nt
Organism: Suncus etruscus (white-toothed pygmy shrew)
Lineage: Eukaryota; Metazoa; Chordata; Mammalia; Eulipotyphla; Soricidae
Exons: 3
Source: RefSeq, a predicted model, not a curated record
CCGGGACCCCAGCAUUCCGAAGGCGGGUGACAUACAUGACCCCAUCAUCUCUUAGAACAUCAUGUUGACAGGUGAGCACAUAGGUCUGGGGUAAGCCAC